CGCCCGGUUUACAUUCCGAACCCGGAAGCUAAGCCUUUCAGCGCCGAUGGUACUGCAGGGGGGACCCUGUGGGAGAGUAGGACGCCGCCGAAC
This 93-nucleotide ribosomal RNA is filed under the name Streptomyces virginiae. Lineage: Bacteria; Bacillati; Actinomycetota; Actinomycetes; Kitasatosporales; Streptomycetaceae. The record is from RNAcentral. RNAcentral also lists the same sequence under 82 other names.